RNAcentral lists this ribosomal RNA (468 nucleotides) under uncultured bacterium. Its description in RNAcentral is "partial 16S ribosomal RNA". It matches the Rfam family "Bacterial small subunit ribosomal RNA", at positions 28 to 507 of the family's 1533-position model. The record is from RNAcentral.
GACGAACGCUGGCGGCGUGCUUAACACAUGCAAGUCGAACGGACAGGCCCUGCCUUUGUGUGGUGCUCGAGUGGCGAACGGGUGAGUAACACGUGAGUAACCUGCCCUUGACUUUGGGAUAACUUCAGGAAACUGGGGCUAAUACCGGCUAGGAGCUCCUGCUGCAUGGUGUGGCUUGGUAAGUUUCGGCGGUUGGGGAUGGACUCGCGGCUUAUCAGCUUGUUGGUGAGGUAGUGGCUAACCAAGGUAUCGACGGGUAGCCGGACUGAGAGGGUGACCGGGCCCAUAGGGACUGAGAUACGACCCAGACGCAUACGGGGGGCAGCAGUGAGAAAUAGUGCACGAUGGGCGGAGGCCUGAUGCAGCAACGUCGCGUGCGAGAUGACGGCCUUCGGGGUGUAAACCGCUUGCGCCUGUGAAGUAGCGUGAGUGACGGUAAUGGGUAAGGAAGCACCGGCUAACUACGUG